GACGAACGCUGGCGGCGUGCCUAAUACAUGCAAGUAGAACGCUGAAGGAGGAGCUUGCUUCUCUGGAUGAGUUGCGAACGGGUGAGUAACGCGUAGGUAACCUGCCUGGUAGCGGGGGAUAACUAUUGGAAACGAUAGCUAAUACCGCAUAAGAGUAGAUGUUGCAUGACAUUUGCUUAAAAGGUGCAAUUGCAUCACUACCAGAUGGACCUGCGUUGUAUUAGCUAGUUGGUGGGGUAACGGCUCACCAAGGCGACGAUACAUAGCCGACCUGAGAGGGUGAGCGCCCACACUGGGACUGAGCCACGGCCCAGACUCCGACGGGAGGCGGCAGGAGGGAAUCUUAGGAAAGGGACGGAAGUUUGACCGAGCAACGCCGCGUGAGUGAAGAGGUGUUUCGGAUCGUAAAGCUCGGUUGUAAGAGAAGAACGAGUGUGAGAGUGGAAAGUUCACACUGUGACGGUAUCUUACCAGAAAGGGACGGCUAACUACGUG
Molecule: ribosomal RNA, 495 nt
Filed under: uncultured bacterium
Lineage: Bacteria
Description: partial 16S ribosomal RNA
Rfam family: Bacterial small subunit ribosomal RNA
Source: RNAcentral